AUUGAACGCUGGCGACAUGCUUUACACAUGCAAGUCGAACGGUAACAGGUUAAGCUGACGAGUGGCGAACGGGUGAGUAAUGCAUCGGAACGUGCCCAAUCGUGGGGGAUAACGCAGCGAAAGCUGCGCUAAUACCGCAUACGAUCUGAGGAUGAAAGCGGGGGACCGUAAGGCCUCGCGCGAUCGGAGCGGCCGAUGUCAGAUUAGGUAGUUGGUGGGGUAAAGGCUCACCAAGCCGACGAUCUGUAGCUGGUCUGAGAGGACGACCAGCCACACUGGGACUGAGACACGGCCCAGACUCCUACGGGAGGCAGCAGUGGGGAAUUUUGGACAAUGGGCGAAAGCCUGAUCCAGCAAUGCCGCGUGCAGGAAGAAGGCCUUCGGGUUGUAAACUGCUUUUGUACGGAGCGAAAAGGCUCUCUCUAAUACAGGGGGCUCAUGACGGUACCGUAAGAAUAAGCACCGGCUAACUACGUGCCAGCCGCCGCCGUAA
This 493-nucleotide ribosomal RNA is filed under the name uncultured bacterium. RNAcentral's name for it is "partial 16S ribosomal RNA". It matches the Rfam family "Bacterial small subunit ribosomal RNA", at positions 30 to 523 of the family's 1533-position model. The record is from RNAcentral.